This 329-nucleotide ribosomal RNA is filed under the name uncultured eukaryote. RNAcentral describes it as "partial 18S ribosomal RNA". It matches the Rfam family "Eukaryotic small subunit ribosomal RNA", at positions 1470 to 1796 of the family's 1831-position model. The record is from RNAcentral.
CCCUUAGAUGUUCUGGGCCGCACGCGCGCUACACUGAUGCAUUCAACGAGUUUUUCCUGGUCCGAGAGGAAUGGGUAACCUUUUGAAAGUGCAUCGUGCUAGGGAUAGACUAUUGCAAUUAUUGGUCUUCAACGAGGAAUUCCUAGUAGACGUAGUUCAUCAGACUGCAUCGAUUACGUCCCUGCCCUUUGUACACACCGCCCGUCGCUACUACCGAUUGAAUGGUUUAGUGAGAUCUCUGGAUUGACGCUGGCUAGGGGGCGACCCUUGGCCAGACUGUUGAGAAACUGCUCAAACUUGAUCAUUUAGAGGAAGUAAAAGUCGUAACA